This 165-nucleotide ribosomal RNA is filed under the name uncultured bacterium. RNAcentral describes it as "partial 16S ribosomal RNA". It matches the Rfam family "Bacterial small subunit ribosomal RNA", at positions 511 to 674 of the family's 1533-position model. The record is from RNAcentral.
GCAGCCGCGGUAAUNGCAAGGGUGCUAAUCUUAAUUGGAAUUACGGGGCGUUAAGCGCGCCUAGGUGGUACUUCAAGUUGGAUGUGAAAGCCCCGGGCUCAACCUGGGAACUGCAUCCAAAACUACNUGGGCUAAAGUAUGGUAGAGGGUGGUAGAUUUCCACCU